GAGGACUUAGCUUAAUUAAAGUGAUUGAUUUGCAUUCAGUUGAUGUAAGAUAUAGUCUUGCAGUCCUUA
Molecule: transfer RNA, 69 nt
Filed under: Oryx beisa
Lineage: Eukaryota; Metazoa; Chordata; Mammalia; Artiodactyla; Bovidae
Description: tRNA-Ala
Rfam family: tRNA
About the family: Transfer RNA (tRNA) molecules are approximately 80 nucleotides in length.
Source: RNAcentral